Molecule: long non-coding RNA, 504 nt
Organism: Impatiens glandulifera
Lineage: Eukaryota; Viridiplantae; Streptophyta; Magnoliopsida; Ericales; Balsaminaceae
Exons: 2
Source: RefSeq, a predicted model, not a curated record
UCAUAUUCCUGACGUAGUAGUUCUGAUUUGGUAGUACUUCUGAUCUCUUGCCGUCUUCUCCUAUUCUUGAUGUAGUUUGGAUCUUUGUCCGUCUUCUCAUAUUCUAGUUGUAGUCAGAUGUCUUGUCGUUUUUUCCUAUUCCUACCCACCACAGUUUCUCCUAUUCUCGUUGUAAUUAAAAGAACUGUUUUUUUCUUUAUGUUAUGUCAUGUAAGCCUAUUUGUUAAAGAAGUUUAUGUCUAGGAUGUCUAUCAUGGUUUAUAUACUUUAAAAGGUUUUGAGCUGAAACAAUCACCAAUUGCAUUAUUCUAUCAAGAAGCGGUGGUGCAGUGAUGUUCAUUACUAAUUUAAAGGAAUCGUCCAAAUUGGAUUUCUGCAUCAACUCUUGCAGACGAUUCUUAUAACUCGGUAGGUCAGAAACAUCUGCCUCGGUAGGUCAGAAACAUCUGCCUCGGUAGGUCAGAAACAUCUGCCAAGGUGAAAGGGAAUAAAAAUAUUAUAAAC